AGAAUCAACGCUGGCGGCGUGCCUAACACAUGCAAGUCGAACGAGAAAGUGGAGCAAUCCAUGAGUAAAGUGGCGACCGGGUGAGUAACACGUGACUAACCUACCUUCGAGUGGGGGAUAACCUCGGGAAACCGAGGCUAAUACCGCAUAACAUCGCAAGAUCAAAGCAGCAAUGCGCUGGAAGAGGGGGUCGCGGCUGAUUAGCUAGUUGGCGGGUAACGCCCACAAGGCGAAGAUCGGUAGCCGGCCUGAGAGGGCGCACGGCCACACUGGAACUGAAACACGGUCCAGACUCCUACGGGAGGCAGCAGUGGGAAUUUUGCGCAAUGGGGGAAACCCUGACGCAGCAACGCCGCGUGGAGGAUGAAGCCCCUUGGGGCGUAAACUCCUUUCGACCAAGACGAUAAUGACGGUACUGGUGGAAGAAGCACCGGCUAACUCUGCGCCAGCAGCCGC
This 456-nucleotide ribosomal RNA is filed under the name uncultured bacterium. RNAcentral's name for it is "SSU rRNA". It matches the Rfam family "Bacterial small subunit ribosomal RNA", at positions 26 to 518 of the family's 1533-position model. The record is from RNAcentral.